AAGUCAAGUUAUUAUUUGUCUUUCCUAAAACUUGGAUAGGCGACAAAACCUUUCUGAGGUCGUGUAGCCUAAAACACUGUGCUUGUGUAUGCAUGCCAGGCCAGUAGUUGGUGGUUCUUUUUUUUAUAAUGAAACACUGUAUGCCAUCACACAUACAGUCCAUCUGUUCAGCAUUGUUUUAGUCAUCAAUGCAUGUUUAUAUAUCCAUAAAUUAAUCAUAAUGGCUACAUUUUCAAAAACUUUACUUUGACACCAGAUUUGAAGGCAUUUUUCUGUGGAAGCCAGUGGCUAUGAUUCCAGUCUGUUAGUGAAGGGCUUUUCUCUUUCAUCCAUAAAAAUAAACUAAUAAUGUGUUUGUCUUGAUUUUUCUUUCCUCUGCAGCCAUAAUGCUUGGUUUUUGUUCUUUCCAUUCUCCAAAGGGUUGUUUUUUCCAAGCCUUUUGAUGAAUGGGCAUUGGCAAGAUUGUUUUUGGUGAUUAGAUCUACACAGAGAUCGUGACUGCAGGGAAUGGCGAGCCUCAACCCUUCUAUUGCUUCGUUUACAAGCGGUUUCGACUUUGAAGUGAAGUAUAUGGGACUGAACGUGCCAGCCCCAGAAUCAGCAUGAAAACACAAGAGGGAGGAUGCUGAAGCUGGAAGUGCUCCAAAGAAGAAAAUGACUUUAGGAAGCUACUUUAAAACUGCUGAACAAGCCUUGCCACCUAACAAACAAAAACUCAGUGCAACCCAGAGAUGGGUUUUCUUUUUCUUUUUGGUUUAUUUGUGGCUAUAAAAUGCAAUAAGAGUACACAAGUGAAUAAAAGUUGAUAAUCAAAGUAAUAAUCAUGAUUAUUAAUCUUUAUUGAAACAGUAUGAUGUUUAAUAGGAAUAUAUUUGUCUGAAUCCAUAAUUUUUACGACUAUUUGUUAAAUAUGUAUGUUUUUUUAAUUCACUGCUUGUUCAAAAAUUAUUAUUUUUCUUUUUAUUUCUCAAUGUAUUAAACCAAUCAGAGUCUCAUCUCCUUUUCCCUUUAUGAGUCAGUAGCAUCAAGCCAUGGCGCAUUUGAUAUUGGCGCAAAGUGGAAAAACUGGAUGCUUUACUAACAAUAAAACAGUGAAAGACCAUCUGCGUGACGAUAAAGACCAUCUACAGAACAA
This is a non-coding RNA of Danio rerio (zebrafish), 1135 nucleotides long. The record is from RefSeq and is a predicted model, not a curated record. NCBI's taxonomy places the organism in Eukaryota, Metazoa, Chordata, Actinopteri, Cypriniformes, Danionidae.